Nitrospirae bacterium RIFCSPLOW2_12_42_9 is the source of this 104-nucleotide non-coding RNA. The record is from Rfam. Lineage: Bacteria; Pseudomonadati; Nitrospirota.
UAAACCUUUAAUUUAGCCCGGUGAGGCUAAGAAGGAAAAUGCAAUGCUUAAUAAAGGCCGAUUAACAGGAACCUUCUCAUCAGAUGAUGAGGAGGUUUUUUUUU